This 180-nucleotide ribosomal RNA is filed under the name uncultured Glomeromycotina. Its description in RNAcentral is "partial small subunit ribosomal RNA". Lineage: Eukaryota; Fungi; Glomeromycota. The record is from RNAcentral.
GACUCGGUUGGGCGGUCCGCUUAACGGCGUGUACUGUCUGACUGGGCCUUACCUCUUGGUGAGCCAGUGUGCCCUUUAUUGGUGUGCAUUGGGGAACCAGGACUUUUACCUUGAGAAAAUUAGAGUGUUCAAAACAAGCUUAUGCUUGAAUACAUUAGCAUGGAAUAACGGAAUAGGACU